GCAGAAAAGGGAAACGAAAAGAGAGAAAAAGGAUGGUACGCUUCUUGUUUUUUUGUUGUUGUUUUUUUGUUGUUGUUGUGUGUGGCUAUAUC
Molecule: non-coding RNA, 92 nt
Filed under: uncultured Nitzschia
Lineage: Eukaryota; Bacillariophyta; Bacillariophyceae; Bacillariales; Bacillariaceae
Source: RNAcentral